Non-coding RNA from Ictidomys tridecemlineatus (thirteen-lined ground squirrel), 465 nucleotides. The record is from RefSeq and is a predicted model, not a curated record. NCBI's taxonomy places the organism in Eukaryota, Metazoa, Chordata, Mammalia, Rodentia, Sciuridae.
GCGCUCUGCGCAUGUGCAAUGCCCUUUCCUUUCUGUCUGGGCGGCUUUGUCUCACGCCGCAGGGGGUUGAAGACUCCGGCGCUACCAGGUCCCCGCAGCGGAGCUGAGGGCGGGGCCGGGGCUCAGAGUGGCCUGGGAUCAGAGACAGAUCCCUUGCAGUGAACAUACACAUAAUUUUCAAAGCAACCAAUAAGAAAGAAAUGUUUAGAUUCACUCAAAAAUAUCCCAGGUUCAUCAAGAUUAUGUCAGAGUCAUCGAUGGACAGGAGAUUCCUGGAGCUGUAACAUAUGGUCUCUUAUGACUUUUCUCUUACAACUUUCCCUGCUCGGGCUUUAUAGUUUCUACCCUUUCCCAAGAGCAGCAGAAAAUGAACAAGUUCAAGGUGAGUCAUUUAUUUAGCCUUUGUUUCACUUUGUGUAUGUGUGUUUAAUGUGUGUAUGUGUUUUUUUUUUAACUUGACUUGAA